This 390-nucleotide ribosomal RNA is filed under the name Asterionella formosa. RNAcentral describes it as "partial small subunit ribosomal RNA". It matches the Rfam family "Eukaryotic small subunit ribosomal RNA", at positions 30 to 432 of the family's 1831-position model. The record is from RNAcentral. Lineage: Eukaryota; Bacillariophyta; Fragilariophyceae; Tabellariales; Tabellariaceae.
GCUUGUCUCAAAGAUUAAGCCAUGCAUGUCUAAGUAUAAAUCUUUUACUUUGAAACUGCGAACGGCUCAUUAUAUCAGUUAUAGUUUAUUUGAUAGUCCCUUACUACUUGGAUAACCGUAGUAAUUCUAGAGCUAAUACAUGCGUCAAUACCCUUCUGGGGUAGUAUUUAUUAGAUUGAAACCAACCGCUUCGGCGUGAUGUGGUGAUUCAUAAUAACUAAACGAAUCGCAUGGCCUUGCGCCGGCGAUGGUUCAUUCAAAUUUCUGCCCUAUCAACUUUCGAUGGUAGGAUAGUGGCCUACCAUGGUAUCAACGGGUAACGGGGAAUUAGGGUUCUAUUCCGGAGAGGGAGCCUGAGAAACGGCUACCACAUCCAAGGAAGGCAGCAGG